GAAAGAAAAAGAAAGGUUAUUCAAAGCAACCUAAGAAAUGGUAAAAAGAAAGAAAAGGACAAGAAGGAAACAGGAUAUGAAAGAAACGAUAAGAUAAAAUAAAAUGAGAUAUGUAUGAAAAAGCAUAAGAAAUGAAAAGGAAAGAAAAGAAAUAAAGUAAAUACAAGAAAAAUCAAGGUUACAUAGGAAACAAAGAAAAAGAAGAAAGAUAAGGAAAUAUUAAAAAGGUAAUUUAAGCUAAAGAAGCAAUGCAUAAGGAGACAUUAGAAAGAAAGGGGAAAGGAAAGAAAAGAAAGGGUAAUUAAAAGGAAAAGGGAGACUAAAGAAAGAAAAGGUAGGUAAAUAGGAAUCACGGAAAGUUAAAGAAGCAUAGAAUGAAAGUAAAAGAGUAUAUAAGUAAGUAAUUAGACGGUUAGCUAAUACUAAAAUAGAAAACAAAAACAAGGAACGUGAAAGUGAAAUAUAAGGUCAGCUAACAUAUUUUCCCCCUCUAGGGACCUUCUUUUGUUUUGCACUGUUGAAGCUUGUCAACUACUGUGGUAGUCAAUGACAGCCACUUGUUCUGCUGAUUCAGAACGGUUAAGAACUUUAUUAUUAUUAUAAAGGCUGGAGAUAAGUCAGUGGUUGACAUGUUGGUGUCCAAAAUCUCAAAUUGGAAGAAGAUGAAAAGAGUGAUGGCUUGGGUUUUGAUUGCUAAACAGAAGUUCUUGACCAAGAUUCGACCGAAAGCAGGGGUUGUUACCGGCAGAAGUUGCGUUGUAAAAGAUCCUGGGCAACUGACAGUAGAGUUAUUAAACUGAGCCGAGGAUUUUAUUUUGACGGAAGUGCAAUCUAAUGCCUUUGAAAGAGAGAUUAAGGAGCUUGAGGCUGGAAAUAAUGUGAGCAAGACCAGAUAGGUGAGGGUGGAUUGGCAAGAGUUGGAGGAAGAAAAAGCAAGGCAGACGUAGCGUAUGAGGCAAAGCAUCCUGUGUUCCUUCCCAAGAAUUCAAGUGUGGCAGAGAUGAUCGUGAGAGAGAUUCAUAAAGAUGUUGGUCAUCUCGGGAAGAAUACCAUUCUGGCAAGACUCAGAGAGCGGUACUGGCUCUUUGGAGCGAAUGGGAUAGCAAAGAAGGUCGCCAGAGAAUGUGUAACACGCAAGCGUUACCAGGUUAAGCCAUGUGAACAAGUGAUGGCAGAUUUGCCUUCUAAUAGAGUCCAGGCAGAUGGAGCACCUUUUGAACAUGUUGGCGUGGACUAUUUUGGUCCGUUGAUGGUAAAGAGAGGCAGAUCAGAGGUCAAACGAUACGGAGUAAUUUUUACCUGCCUGUAGUCUCGAGCCGUCCAUCUUGAGGUAGCGCAUAGCCUGGACACUGAUUCAUGCAUUAAUUCAAUCAGAAGAUUUAUGGCAAGAAGAGGACCUGUGUUAACCAUUUCAUCCGACAAUGAAACCAAUCUGGUUGGCGCGGAGAAGGAAUUGAGAGAGAUGUGGAAGAAGAUUGAUCAAGCCAAGAUGAAGGGUGUACUCAAUAAUGUUGGGAUUGACUGGAUCUUAAACCCACCAACAGCAUCCCAUUUUGGUGGAGUGUGGGAGAGGAUGAUUAGGUCAACUAGGAAGAUCAUAUACAGAUGAAGCACGUUUACUUGAUGAUGAGGCGCUAGUAAACUUCUUUUGCGAAGCGGAGGGUAUACUCAACAGUCGACCUUUGACAACGACAUCUACGGAUCCAGGGGAUAUGUUGCCUUUAACUCCCAAUAUGCUGAUAAACCCCAGAGGAAGAGUUCUCCAUUCACUAGGGGUUUUUCUCCUAGAAACCAUUGGGUGAUGGCUGUCGUAGAGACAGUAUUCCAAGAUAAGAAAGGAGAUCGAUCGUGUAUGGUGAGACGCAAUCAGCGCUACUGGAGAGACCGGUGUCUAAACUGUGUAUUCUGGUGGAAAACAAUUAGGACUCAGCAUUUGAAGUGAAUUUGUCAUAUGUUGUUUUAUUGCUUAGUUUCGAAAUUGGGGGUGGGAGUGUUAAUGCCAAGUUCACUUCCUAAUAUUAUUUACGUCUGUCGCCCUCUCUAGUUUAGCCGUGUAAGAAAGUUUUACACAAUAUGGCUGUUAAACGUCAGGCUAUACUUUGAUGUUUUAAAUAACAAGUAUUAUUGUGCUUCAGAAGGUGUUUCUCGAUAUGCUUAGAGAUAUAAUAAUCGUCACUUGUAUCAGUGUCAACCGUCACAGAUGUGUGGUUGCGCUUAAACCUGAACUAAGGAUAAGAGUAUACGUUGAUAUUCUGUCAUCAGUUCCGAGGUUUUUAAGAUGCAUUAAAC
Molecule: long non-coding RNA, 2289 nt
Organism: Anneissia japonica
Lineage: Eukaryota; Metazoa; Echinodermata; Crinoidea; Comatulida; Comatulidae
Exons: 3
Source: RefSeq, a predicted model, not a curated record